Ornithorhynchus anatinus (platypus) is the source of this 139-nucleotide non-coding RNA. The record is from Rfam. Lineage: Eukaryota; Metazoa; Chordata; Mammalia; Monotremata; Ornithorhynchidae.
CCCCUCUCAGGAUCACAUUUGGAGAGUUUUCAGUACUCUACCAGUCUCGGCUAUGAUAGGGGAGAGUCGAGCAGAGGUAUACCCGUUCCAUUCCUAGCUUGGGCAGUGGCUGGUGAGUGGAAGGCAAUCUGCUAUAAGU